GUGGGGAAUAUUGGACAAUGGGCGAAAGCCUGAUCCAGCCAUGCCGCGUGUGUGAAGAAGGUCUUCGGAUUGUAAAGCACUUUAAGUUGGGAGGAAGGGCAGUAAGUUAAUACCUUGCUGUUUUGACGUUACUGACAGAAUAAGCACCGGCUAACUUCGUGCCAGCAGCCGCGGUAAUACGAAGGGUGCAAGCGUUAAUCGGAAUUACUGGGCGUAAAGCGCGCGUAGGUGGUUUUGUAAGUUGGAGGUGAAAUCCCCGGGCUCAACCUGGGAACUGCCUCCAAAACUGCAUGACUAGAGUACGGUAGAGGGUAGUGGAAUUUCCUGUGUAGCGGUGAAAUGCGUAGAUAUAGGAAGGAACACCAGUGGCGAAGGCGACUACCUGGACUGAUACUGACACUGAGGUGCGAAAGCGUGGGGAGCAAACAGGAUUAGAUACCCGGGUAGUCC
RNAcentral lists this ribosomal RNA (450 nucleotides) under uncultured bacterium. RNAcentral describes it as "partial 16S ribosomal RNA". It matches the Rfam family "Bacterial small subunit ribosomal RNA", at positions 354 to 796 of the family's 1533-position model. The record is from RNAcentral.